This 429-nucleotide ribosomal RNA is filed under the name Pseudomonadota bacterium. Its description in RNAcentral is "Proteobacteria bacterium partial 16S ribosomal RNA". It matches the Rfam family "Bacterial small subunit ribosomal RNA", at positions 355 to 776 of the family's 1533-position model. The record is from RNAcentral. Lineage: Bacteria; Pseudomonadati; Pseudomonadota.
UGGGGAAUAUUGGACAAUGUGCGAAAGCCUGAUCCAGCCAUGCCGCGUGUGUGAAGAAGGUCUUCGGAUUGUAAAGCACUUUAAGUUGGGAGGAAGGGCAGUAAGCGAAUACCUUGCUGUUUUGACGUUACCGACAGAAUAAGCACCGGCUAACUCUGUGCCAGCAGCCGCGGUAAUACAGAGGGUGCAAGCGUUAAUCGGAAUUACUGGGCGUAAAGCGCGCGUAGGUGGUUCGUUAAGUUGAAUGUGAAAGCCCCGGGCUCAACCUGGGAACUGCAUCCAAAACUGGCGAGCUAGAGUAGGGCAGAGGGUGGUGGAAUUUCCUGUGUAGCGGUGAAAUGCGUAGAUAUAGGAAGGAACACCAGUGGCGAAGGCGACCACCUGGGCUCAUACUGACACUGAGGUGCGAAAGCGUGGGGAGCAAACAGG